Molecule: non-coding RNA, 494 nt
Organism: Misgurnus anguillicaudatus (oriental weatherfish)
Lineage: Eukaryota; Metazoa; Chordata; Actinopteri; Cypriniformes; Cobitidae
Source: RefSeq, a predicted model, not a curated record
GUAAGAGAGGAAGAUAAUCAUCAUUUACUGUUAAAAACAUUUUGAAAAUUGAAGUUUUGUGUGUUCUUAUUGUAAUUUAUUUAUUUUAUAACAGGUAAACUUUAUACUGAAAGCUUCAUUCCCUUUAAAGCAGAGUUUUUAUAUGUGAGGUAAUCUUGCUGGGAGUGAAGGCAGUGCAUGUGACCGCUUGAUAUGAGAGACACAUACUGUAUUUAAAGGUCAACUUUAUACUGUAAGCUUCAUUCCAUUUAUAACAGAGUUUUCAUAUGUGAGUGAAUCUUGCUUAUGCUGGAAGUGAAGGCAGUGCGUAUGACCGCUUGAUACAAGAGACACAUUCUAUUUUUAAAGGUGAUGUAUGCAUGUUACUUUUAGUCCUGGCAUUAAAAUAAUAAUAUUUACUGUUUAAACAUUUUGUAAAUUGAGGUUUUGUGUGUUUUUGAUGUACUUUAUUUCUUUUAUAACAGGUCAACAUACUGUAAGCUUCAUUCACUUUA